This 305-nucleotide ribosomal RNA is filed under the name uncultured bacterium. RNAcentral's name for it is "bacterial SSU rRNA". It matches the Rfam family "Bacterial small subunit ribosomal RNA", at positions 337 to 656 of the family's 1533-position model. The record is from RNAcentral.
UCCUACGGGGGGCAGCAGUUGGGAAUAUUGGACAAUGGAGGAAACUCUGAUCCAGUGACGCCGCGUGAAGGAAGAAGGUCUUCGGAUUGUAAACUUAUUUUAUCAGGGAAGAAAAAAAUGACUGUACCUGAAGAAGAAGCACCGGCUAACUAUGUGCCAGCAGCCGCGGUAAUACAGAGGUCUCAAGCGUUGUUCGGAAUCACUGGGCGUAAAGCGUGCGUAGGCUGUUUCGUAAGUCGUGUGUGAAAGGCGCGGGCUCAACCCGCGGACGGCACAUGAUACUGCGAGACUAGAGUAAUGGAGGG